CGCGGGGUGGAGCAGUCUGGUAGCUCGUCGGGCUCAUAACCCGGAGGCCGCAGGUUCAAAUCCUGCCCCCGCUACCA
Molecule: transfer RNA, 77 nt
Filed under: Planctomycetaceae bacterium
Lineage: Bacteria; Pseudomonadati; Planctomycetota; Planctomycetia; Planctomycetales; Planctomycetaceae
Also listed under: 1 other name
Description: tRNA-Met
Rfam family: tRNA
About the family: Transfer RNA (tRNA) molecules are approximately 80 nucleotides in length. Their secondary structure includes four short double-helical elements and three loops (D, anti-codon, and T loops).
Source: RNAcentral